AUGAGAAACAGGAAAAACAAGAAAGAGCAGAGAAAGAGGAGAAACAGGAAAGACAGGAGAGAGAGGAGAAACAGGAGAGGGGAGAAAGAGGAAAAACAAGAAAGAGAGGAGAAAGGAGAAACAGGAAAGAGAGGAGAAACAGGAAAAACAAGACAGGAGAAAGAGGAGAAACAGGGAAAAAUGGGAGAGAGGAGAAACAGGAAAAACAAGAAAGAGAGGAGAAAGAGGAUAAACAGGGAAAAAAGGGGAGAGAGGAGAAACAGGAAACACAAGAAAGAGAAGAGAAACAGGAAAAACAGGAGAGAAGAGAAACAGGAAAAAGAGGAAAGAGAGGAGAAACAGGAGAAACAGGAAAAACAGGAGAGAGAGGAGAGAGAGGAAAAGAGGAGAAACAGGAGAGAGAGAAGAAAGAGGAGAAACAGGAGAGAGAGGAGAAACAGGAAAAACAGGAGAGAGAGGAGAAACAGGAGAGGGAGAAGAAAGAGGAGAAACAGGAAAGAGAGGAGAAACAGGAAAAACAAGAAAGAGCGGAGAAAGAGGAGAAACAGGAGAGAGAGGAGAAAGAGGAAAAACAAGAAAGAGAGGAGAAAGGAGAAACAGGUAAGAGAGGAGAAACAGGAAAAACAACAGAGGAGAAAGAGGAGAAACAGGGAAAUAAGGGGAGAGGGGGGAAAGAGGAAAAACAAGAAAGAGAGGAGAAAGAGGAGAAACGGGGAAAAAAAGGGGAGAGAGGAGAAACAGGAAAAACAAGAAAGAGAGGAGAAAAGAGGAGAAACAGGGAAAAAGGGAAGAGAGGAGAAACAGGAAACACAAGAAAGAGAGGAGAAACAGGAAAAACAGGAGAGAGAAGAGAAACAGGAAAAACAGGAGAGAGAGGAGAAACAGGAGAGAGAGAAGAAAGAGGAGAAACAGGAGAGAGAGGAGAAACAGGAGAGGGGGGAGAAACAGGAGAAACAGGAAAGAGAGGAAAAACAGGAAAAACAAGAAAGAGCAGAGAAAGAGGAGAAACAGGAAAAACAGGAGAGAGAGGAGAAACAGGAAAAACAAGAAAGAGAGGAGAAACAGGAAAAAAAGAAAGAGAGGAGAAAGGAGAAACAGGAAAGAGAGGAGAAACAGGAAAAACAAGAAAGAAGAAAGAGGAGAAACAGGGAAAAAAGGGGAGAGAAGAGAAAGAGGAAAAACAAGAAAGAGAGGAGAAAGAGGAGGAACAGGAAAAACAGGAGAGAGAGGAGAAACAGGAGAGAGAGGAGAAACAGGAAAAAUGGGAGAGAGAGGAGAAACAGGAAAAACAGGAAAGAGAGGAGAAACAGGAGAGAGAGAAGAAAGAGGAGAAAACAGGGGAGGGAGGAGAAACGGGAAAAACAGGAAAGAGAGGAGAAGAAAAGAGGAAAAACAGGAGAUAGAAGAGAAACAGGGAAAACAAGAAAGAGAGGAGAAACAGGAGAGAGAGAAGAAAGAGGAGAAACAGGGGAGGGAGGAGAAACGGGAGAAAACAGGAAAGAGAGGAGAAAGAGGAAAAACAGGAGAUAG
This 1530-nucleotide long non-coding RNA is filed under the name Betta splendens (Siamese fighting fish). Its description in RNAcentral is "lncRNA (ENSBSLG00000001432.1)". The record is from RNAcentral. Lineage: Eukaryota; Metazoa; Chordata; Actinopteri; Anabantiformes; Osphronemidae.